UUUCGCUUUAUGGCGUGCUCGUUUGGGUUGGGCGUUGGCUAAGAGUGCUCGGAGUGUGGAUUAACUCCAGUCUCCAAUCAGGUGUGUAUUUUCUCGCUACUCUAGCUGUAGGAUGGCUACUUCGGGCCACGAUGGGCUGAAAGGGGUCAUGUGGGCCCAAUGGGCCUACGGGCCCAAUUGGAUAAGUUAUUUGAUUGUGUAGUAAAUAUUGGACUAGGUUAGGUGAAUCUCAUAUUUGUGGCUAGAUUUGGGCUAAAAGGGCCACACGAGCGUGUGGCCCAUUUAGGCUGAGAAUAGGCUUUAGGCCCAUUCGUAUUGUUAUCCCUGUUUAGAAUACUUUAGUUUACCAAAUUACUGAAAUGCCCUCAAUUUGUAAAAUUACCAAAGUACCCUCAAUUUAUAGAAUUACUGUUUUACCCUCGAUUUAUAGAAUUACUAUUUUACCCUCGAUUUAUAGAAUUACCGUUUUAUUCUCGAUUUACAGAAUUACCAUUUUACCUUCGAUUUAUAGAAUUACCAUUUUACCCUCGAUUUAUAGAAUUACCAUUUUACCCUCAAUUUACAAAAUUACCGUUUUACUCUCGAUUUACAAAAUUAUCGUUUUACCCUCGAUUUACAAAAUUACUAAAAUACCCUUAAUUUACAAAAUUACCAAAAUACCCCUGAUUUUAGAAAUUAUCGAAAUAAUCUAAAUUUGUAAAAUAUCAAAAUACCCCUGUAGGGUAGAAUUACCGAAAUACCCUUGUAGGGUAGAAUUACCAAAAUACCCUUGUAGGGUAGAAAUACUGAAAUACCCCUAUAGGAUAGAAUUACUGAAAUAACCCUGUAGGGUAGAAUUACCGAAAUACCCCUAUAGGGUAGAAUUACCGAAAUACCCCUGUAGGGUAAAAUUACUGAAAUAACCCUGUAGGGUAGAAUUACUGAAAUACCCCUGUAGGAUAGAAUUAUCGAAAUACCCUUGUCGGGUAGAAAUACUGAAAUACCCCUGUAGGGUAGAAUUACUGAGAUACCCUUGUGGGGUAAAAUUACCAUUUUGCCCCUAAGGUGUUAAACGACUGUUUUGCCCUUGUGGGCAAGUGACUGCCUUGGACUGUGUGGUUGGCGAAUUUGAUUGUGAAUAUAUGUUGGUGAUAUGAAUGACUUGACUGUGAUUGUUUGAUUCAAAUAUGGGCAUUACAUUCUGCAUUCAUGACAUGUUGCAUGGGUUGGGUUUUAUAAAUAUAGGAAGUGCUAAAAGGGCUAUGCCGCAGUUUACCGAAAAGGGCUUUGCCCCAGUUUAUCAAAAAGGGCUUUGCCCCAGUUAUUAAAAGGGGCUAGGCCUCUAGUUAUAAGAUAAAGCAGCUAUGCUGCCAGUGGAGAGCUUGGUUGGUACGGGUGGAGAGUAGCAAAUGGUGGGUUGAGUAGUCUCCCCAAAUGGCCUUGCAUACAUUCAUUGGUAUUUCAUGUGAUAUUAAAAUAGGCCUAUGGGCCAUACCGUUUACAGUAAAGGCUUUGGCCCAGUGAUAUGAUUUAUGAAAAGGCUUCGGCCUAGUAACCGUUAAACGAAAGGCUUCGGCCCAGUAAAUGUCGAGACUAAAUAGGGCUUUGGCCCAGAUUGCACUGGAACCGUGUUAUUCACUGUUUGUUUGUUAUUGGGAUUACACACUGAGUUUUUGUAAACUCACCCCGUUUCUAACUGUGCAGGUGAUCCCUAAGCUUAGAUGGUUUGGAGCUGCGAGGGACUCGAAGAUGGCCACACUACUUUUUCUGUUUCUUUUAAUUGCAAUUAGAUUUCAUUUUGGGUUUUUAAUUUAUGUAAUAAGGCCGUUGGUGGGUUUUAAGUUUUAAUUUGGAUUGUGAUUUCUUAUGCUAAACUGCUAGUCUAGGAAAACUCGAGAUUUCAAAAUGGCAUGAUUUUUUUAAGGAACCCGAGCUUCCAACAACAAAGUUUUCAAAAUGCUUCCGCGAUUUUAAAUGAGGUAAUAUACCAAAGGCAAACAAAUUGGUAAACGUUUUGAUGAGAACUUUAGUUUAAUAAUAAUAAAGGAAUUUAGAUUCAGUAAUGGAUUUUUACCGGAAAGAUCAAAUUUGAAAAAUGGUUUGAUGUGACGCACCAGAUUCGGCCAUAACGUCUAGGCCGAGUUUGGGGUGUUACACCAAGUCUACUCUUAUUUGGAAUAGGCCACUCUUGAGGGUUUAGAAGCAUUUUAAAGCGUAUAUAAAAACCCCAAGAAGUACCAAAAAGGGACACACGGAGUAGGAGGCAAUGAAUUACUCAAUGGAAGCCGAUUGAUCCAUCUUAGAAGCCGGAUUCACCUUCAAGACUGAAGAUCUCCCUUCAAUUCCCUUCAAGAGUUCUUGGGUUUUCUUUAUGUUUUGUUAUCAUUAUUCUUUAGAGAUGUUUUCUUUCAUAAAUAUGAACUAAACCCCCUAAAUAUCUAAGGGGAAUGAAACCUAAG
This 2438-nucleotide long non-coding RNA is filed under the name Gossypium barbadense (sea-island cotton). RNAcentral describes it as "long non-coding RNA (GBAR_LNC011539)". The record is from RNAcentral. Lineage: Eukaryota; Viridiplantae; Streptophyta; Magnoliopsida; Malvales; Malvaceae.